Molecule: ribosomal RNA, 301 nt
Filed under: uncultured bacterium
Lineage: Bacteria
Description: partial 16S ribosomal RNA
Rfam family: Bacterial small subunit ribosomal RNA
Source: RNAcentral
CAGUCGCCGCGGGAAUACGUAGGGUCCGAGCGUUGUCCGGAAUUAUUGGGCGUAAAGGGCUCGUAGGCGGUUUGUUGCGUCGGGAGUGAAAACCCAGGGCUUAACUUUGGGCUUGCUUUCGAUACGGGCAGACUUGAGGCAUUGAGGGGAGAACGGAAUUCCUGGUGUAGCGGUGAAAUGCGCAGAUAUCAGGAGGAACACCGGUGGCGAAGGCGGUUCUCUGGCAAUGUUCUGACGCUGAGGAGCGAAAGUGUGGGGAGCGAACAGGAUUAGAUACCCCGGUAGUCCCUGUCUCUUAUAC